GAGAGCGUAAUAGUAGGCGACAUG
This 24-nucleotide non-coding RNA is filed under the name Arabidopsis thaliana (thale cress). The record is from RNAcentral. Lineage: Eukaryota; Viridiplantae; Streptophyta; Magnoliopsida; Brassicales; Brassicaceae.